AAAUAACAAUACAGGGCAAUUGUCUUGUAAUUGGAAUGAUGGUGACCUAAACCCUCACCAGAGUAACAAUUGGAGGGCAAGUCUGGUGCCAGCAGCCGCGGUAAUUCCAGCUCCAAUAGCGUAUAUUAAACUUGUUGCAGUUAAAAAGCUCGUAGUUGAAUUUUUGCGUCACCGUGUAUCGACAUUUGUCGUUUAUCGGUUUCGCUUUUGGGAUUUAUCCCUUUUUACUUUGAGAAAAUUAGAGUGUUUCAAGCAGACUUUUGUCUUGAAUACUUCAGCAUGGAAUAAUAGAGUAGGACUUUGGUUCUAUUUUGUUGGUUUGUGAACCUUAGUAAUGGUUAAUAGGAACGGUUGGGGGCAUUCGUAUUUA
This 370-nucleotide ribosomal RNA is filed under the name Babesia odocoilei. Its description in RNAcentral is "SSU rRNA". It matches the Rfam family "Eukaryotic small subunit ribosomal RNA", at positions 475 to 900 of the family's 1831-position model. Lineage: Eukaryota; Apicomplexa; Aconoidasida; Piroplasmida; Babesiidae. The record is from RNAcentral.